UCGGUACGCGCGGAUCUUCCAGAGAUUAGAGUUUGAUCCUGGCUCAGAUUGAACGCUGGCGGCAGGCCUAACACAUGCAAGUCGAACGGUAACAGGAAGAAGCUUGCUUCUUUGCUGACGAGUGGCGGACGGGUGAGUAAUGUCUGGGAAACUGCCUGAUGGAGGGGGAUAACUACUGGAAACGGUAGCUAAUACCGCAUAACGUCGCAAGACCAAAGAGGGGGACCUUCGGGCCUCUUGCCAUCGGAUGUGCCCAGAUGGGAUUAGCUAGUAGGUGGGGUAACGGCUCACCUAGGCGACGAUCCCUAGCUGGUCUGAGAGGAUGACCAGCCACACUGGAACUGAGACACGGUCCAGACUCCUACGGGAGGCAGCAGUGGGGAAUAUUGCACAAUGGGCGCAAGCCUGAUGCAGCCAUGCCGCGUGUAUGAAGAAGGCCUUCGGGUUGUAAAGUACUUUCAGCGGGGAGGAAGGGAGUAAAGUUAAUACCUUUGCUCAUUGACGUUACCCGCAGAAGAAGCACCGGCUAACUCCGUGCCAGCAGCCGCGGUAAUACGGAGGGUGCAAGCGUUAAUCGGAAUUACUGGGCGUAAAGCGCACG
RNAcentral lists this ribosomal RNA (601 nucleotides) under uncultured Escherichia sp. RNAcentral describes it as "bacterial SSU rRNA". It matches the Rfam family "Bacterial small subunit ribosomal RNA", at positions 1 to 571 of the family's 1533-position model. Lineage: Bacteria; Pseudomonadati; Pseudomonadota; Gammaproteobacteria; Enterobacterales; Enterobacteriaceae. The record is from RNAcentral.